This 70-nucleotide transfer RNA is filed under the name Dipodomys ordii (Ord's kangaroo rat). It matches the Rfam family "tRNA". From Rfam's summary of the family: Transfer RNA (tRNA) molecules are approximately 80 nucleotides in length. Their secondary structure includes four short double-helical elements and three loops (D, anti-codon, and T loops). Further hydrogen bonds mediate the characteristic L-shaped molecular structure. tRNAs have two regions of fundamental functional importance: the anti-codon, which is responsible for specific mRNA codon recognition, and the 3' end, to which the tRNAs corresponding amino acid is attached (by aminoacyl-tRNA synthetases). tRNAs cope with the degeneracy of the genetic code in two manners: having more than one tRNA (with a specific anti-codon) for a particular amino acid; and 'wobble' base-pairing, i.e. permitting non-standard base-pairing at the 3rd anti-codon position. The record is from Rfam by way of RNAcentral. Lineage: Eukaryota; Metazoa; Chordata; Mammalia; Rodentia; Heteromyidae.
GGGAAUAUGGCUUAGUGGUAAAGUGCUUGCCUAGCAUGCAUGAAGCCCUGGGUUCCAUUUCUCAGUACCA